AUUCAUAGGCGGUAUCCUGGGCGAGUCUGGAACGCCAGAGACCGCUGUGAACCGGCAGAGAGACUAGAACUUGCCACCAACCGAGACGAACGCACAUGAUAAACGGUGAUCAGGGGAAAGUAGCUGGACCAGGUGAUCGGGCAACGUCCAAAGCUUCUGAUGCAAACGAGCGCGUGCAUGUGUUCGUCGGAGGGGGUGCGUCGACGCAACGCACAGGAGGUCAGCGUCAAACCAGCAGGUCUGGACGGGGCGUCCAGCGUCUUUCGGCUGGAGCCCAGCCGCUUGAGCCACUAGACGGCUGAGGAUUCGCGGGGAACAGUGCCGCGGCGCUGCACCAGCCGCGUCUGGUGGCCUCGCCUCUGACGCCGGCCGCGGACGCGGACUCUUUGGAGCCAGAAUCGUUCGUGUUUCUACCGCUGUCGCAGUACUACUCGCGCUGCUUCGUUUGCGGUGAAGAACUGGGUCCCGGGGAGGGUGCAUCAGCUUGGCCAGCGGGUCCGUGCCUGGGACCCGACGCUGCGAGUCAGCGCUCGACGCUCGCGGGUGCCGAGGGUGCGCUUCUGCCGCCGUACGUUGCGGACUGGCAGAAGCGGCAUCGCUACGGUUACUGGCAAACGGUUCGCGAGCAUCGCCUGACGCAAGUGCCUGUGGGCCCUGCAGCCGACGGCACGCCGACCACGGACGCAGUCGAUGCGUCGGUCGGGGCCUCUACGGCAACGAUUACGACAGCCCCGGCACCGGCAGCGUGGAGCGGCGCAGUUCCCCGCGUCGUGAAGGUCUUCAACGACAUCCAUCCAGCUCGCUACGACUACGCGUUCCUGAUCUUUACCUUGCUUCUCUUUCCGUACACCUGGAGUCUAAUCUCGUUACUCUACUGGACAGGUUGGUUCCGGUUUGAGAGCUUCUUUUGGGAAUGCUGUGGCACGCUCUUUCCGCGCUCAAGAGGUUGUGAGCGGAUUGUUGCGCUCGAGAAUGGUCAUGUGAUAUGUGUUCGUGUUUAUGAAAGUCGGCAUCUCUUGCCUGAAACCAGUAACCCGACGCAACUCUAAACAUGGAAAGUCAA
Molecule: RNA transcript, 1063 nt
Organism: Cyanidioschyzon merolae strain 10D
Lineage: Eukaryota; Rhodophyta; Bangiophyceae; Cyanidiales; Cyanidiaceae
Exons: 1
Source: RefSeq, a predicted model, not a curated record